ACAUCCAGAGAAUUUAGCAGAGAUGCUUUAGUGCCUUCGGGAACUCUGAGACAGGUGCUGCAUGGCUGUCGUCAGCUCGUGUUGUGAAAUGUUGGGUUAAGUCCCGCAACGAGCGCAACCCUUAUCCUUUGUUGCCAGCACGUAAUGGUGGGAACUCAAAGGAGACUGCCGGUGAUAAACCGGAGGAAGGUGGGGAUGACGUCAAGUCAUCAUGGCCCUUACGAGUAGGGCUACACACGUGCUACAAUGGCGCAUACAAAGAGAAGCGACCUCGCGAGAGCAAGCGGACCUCAUAAAGUGCGUCGUAGUCCGGAUUGGAGUCUGCAACUCGACUCCAUGAAGUCGGAAUCGCUAGUAAUCGUAAAUCAGAAUGUUACGGUGAAUACGUUCCCGGGCCUUGUACACACCGCCCGUCACACCAUGGGAGUGGGUUGCAAAAGAAGUAGAUAGCUUAACCUUCGGGAGGGCGUUUACCUACUUUGUGAUUCAUGACUGGGGUGAAGUCGUAACAAGGUAAGCGUAGUGCU
RNAcentral lists this ribosomal RNA (527 nucleotides) under uncultured bacterium. RNAcentral describes it as "bacterial SSU rRNA". It matches the Rfam family "Bacterial small subunit ribosomal RNA", at positions 984 to 1509 of the family's 1533-position model. The record is from RNAcentral.